RNAcentral lists this signal recognition particle RNA (263 nucleotides) under Otolemur garnettii (small-eared galago). RNAcentral's name for it is "Metazoan signal recognition particle RNA". It matches the Rfam family "Metazoan signal recognition particle RNA". Rfam says of the family: The signal recognition particle (SRP) is a universally conserved ribonucleoprotein. It is involved in the co-translational targeting of proteins to membranes. The record is from Rfam by way of RNAcentral. Lineage: Eukaryota; Metazoa; Chordata; Mammalia; Primates; Galagidae.
GGUGGGUAUGGUGGUGUGGGCCUGUAGUUCCAGCUACUUGGCAGGCUGAAGCAUGGGGAUCCUUGAGCCCAGGAAUUCUAGGUUAUAGUGUGCUAUGCCAACUGGGUGUCCAUACUAACUUUGGCAUCAGUAUGGUAACUGGGAGCAGAGGACCAUCAGGUUGCCUAAGGAGUUGUGAACUGGCCCAGCAGGUCAAAACUUCUGUGGUAUCAUGCCUGUGAAUAGUGCUCUAGCCUGGGAAAUUUAGUGAGAACUCAUCUCUU